This 610-nucleotide ribosomal RNA is filed under the name Chitinimonas sp. Se3Ps_666. RNAcentral's name for it is "bacterial SSU rRNA". It matches the Rfam family "Bacterial small subunit ribosomal RNA", at positions 381 to 984 of the family's 1533-position model. The record is from RNAcentral. Lineage: Bacteria; Pseudomonadati; Pseudomonadota; Betaproteobacteria; Neisseriales; Chitinibacteraceae.
GUCUGAUCCAGCCAUGCCGCGUGAGUGAAGAAGGCCUUCGGGUUGUAAAGCUCUUUUGUCCGGGAGCAAAUCCUGAUUCCUAAUACCAAUCGGGGAUGAGAGUACCGGAAGAAUAAGGACCGGCUAACUACGUGCCAGCAGCCGCGGUAAUACGUAGGGUCCAAGCGUUAAUCGGAAUUACUGGGCGUAAAGGGUGCGCAGGUGGUUACGUAAGUCUGAUGUGAAAUCCCCGGGCUCAACCUGGGAACUGCAUUGGAGACUGUGUGACUAGAGUGUGGCAGAGGGGGGUGGAAUUCCGCGUGUAGCAGUGAAAUGCGUAGAGAUGCGGAGGAACACCAAUGGCGAAGGCAGCCCCCUGGGUUAACACUGACACUCAUGCACGAAAGCGUGGGGAGCAAACAGGAUUAGAUACCCUGGUAGUCCACGCCCUAAACGAUGUCUACUAGUUGUUGGAGCAGCAAUGCUUUUGUAACGCAUCUCACGCGUGAAGUAUACCGCCCGGGGAGUACGAUCGCAAGAUUAAAACUCUCAGGAAUUGACGGGGGCCCGCACAAGCGGUGGAUGAUGUGGAUUAAUUCUAUGCAACGCGAAAAACCUUACCUACCCUUGA